RNA transcript from Acyrthosiphon pisum (pea aphid), 1474 nucleotides. It is a transcript of the gene named lipase-like, with no coding region annotated. The record is from RefSeq and is marked provisional. The transcript is spliced from 7 exons. NCBI's taxonomy places the organism in Eukaryota, Metazoa, Arthropoda, Insecta, Hemiptera, Aphididae.
UUUUUAUUAUACACAUCAGUACAUUACCAAACUUAACAGCCACUUGUUGUACAAAUUACAAGUAAAGGUUUCGUCGAUUGUUUUUUUUCUGAUGUAAUAUUUUCACGAAUAUACAUCAACGUUCACUACAACGCUAUUGCUGGAGUACGCCUUUUUUAGCAGUUGAAAAAUUAUGACGGAUUUGGAAAAAGUUUUUAUAGGUUUAUCUGUAUUGUUCGCUAUCGUCACGUGCAGAUCAAGUGAGAAUAAUAAAAGAAAUCAAUGUAUUAAAGCGACUGACAACUGUCCUAACGAACAUAUUAAGCUAUACUUGUAUACAAAUAAAACUAAAGAUGACCCUGUUGAGCUUACCGAAGACUCAAUCAAAGAUAUCGAGUUCGCAAUGACUUUUGAUUUAAAAGUACUUAUCCAUGGAAUCAAAGGAUCGAGAGACGACGAUUUUAAUACGGUAAUUAGAGACGCUUAUUUCUCACAGGCCGAGUAUAACAUAAUCACGAUCGAUUAUUACCCUAUCGCGUCUUCAUUGAAAUGUUACACUGUCGCUCUUCAGAAUCUGCCGAUCAUUGCAAAAUGUAUAACACAAUUUCUGGUCACGAUCCUCGAUAAAUACGAACAAUUCGAGUACGUGCACGCCAUUGGAUUCAGCUUGGGAGGUCAAGCCGCUGGUCUCGUGGGAAAACUGUUGAAGGCGAAAGGAAAGCUCCUGAACAGGGCUACGGGCCUUGAUCCAGCACUACCACAUUUUGAAUUGUUUUGGAACCAAUUGGACGAACAAAGUGCAACCAUGGUCGACAUCAUACAUACAAAUUGCGGUGUUCUCGGACAAAUGAUGCCAAUCGGUACAGUUGAUUUUUACGCCAAUGGUGGAAUAACACAACCGGGAUGUGAUAGGACUAGUGCUAACAAAUAUAAUAUCACGAGAGAGCAUAUAAAUUCUACGCAGAGUCGAUUUACCACGGAAUGGGCAUGUCUGGAUUUUAUGCGACGACUUCAAGCACCUUAAACCAGCUGUCAUUAUUGGGACAGUUUAGUAGUUUUUCGGGAGCUAAAGUAUUGGUUGGAGAAUAUCUUGACCCUGGCACUGAAGGAAUAUACAAUUUCUUAACCAACGAUAGUCCACCUUACGCUAAAGGAAAAAAUAAAUUUACCUCAUAUAUAAUGAGAUGGUUUUCUUAAUUAAAAUAACUGGAUAAUACAUGUAUUAUGGAUAAUAAACAAGUACAUAUUACAACAGAAGUAGGUAAAUUAUAUAUUUUAUUAUUCAAAGUAUGAUGGAUACCAUUACUAUAAAAUAGUAGCCAAAAUCGUGUUGUUAUUACCUAUCAUUUUUUUAUCAUCAUCAAAAGCGUGAAAAGGAUUUAAGUGUGUAAGUACUUUAAUAAAAACAUAAAGACAGUGUACACAUCAAAUAAUCAAUGGUAUCGAACUAUUAUAAUAAAAUAACAAAUAUAAUAUAAUAUAUGUACUUUCAAUA